UUGUAGUUGUACUCAUCCAAGAUCCUCCUUUCCGCAUGUUCUUCCUUCAACUGGUCCUGGUCCGAUCAACGCUAACCUCGAAGCGACUACCUCGAAAGCGACAAACAAGGCGAAACAAUCAAACCACUAGACCUCGAAAGACUACGAAAAGAGACGACAUGACACUGAGGAUCAACUACACUAAAAGAGCAACGAAAGGAAAACGGCUUAGCCCUCUCGGCGGAUGUCCGAUCUCUGGGCUAAAAGAAAUGGGAAUGGUUGUUCACUAAGUACAAGCUGGAGUCUUAGCCUAGCCGGUACUUCCUGGGUCGACUAAGUCAACCUGUACGACUUUAAUAAUUGGCUUAGACCCUAACUUAUCAUAAGCAAACACCAUAGCUAGUGGCUCUUCGAUCCAAGCGUCACGGAGAUCGACAGGAAUCGAAAAGACUAUGAGCACGCGAAGUUCCGGUCUCUCUCAAUCCAUACGCCAUUGUAGUUGGCGAGAGCCAAGAGAGGGUGGAACAAGGAGAGAAGAAAAGGGGAGUGGUCUACUUCUUCCCAUCCACUCGCCAUGGUAAGAGACGGGGGAUUAGAAAGUGUGACACACAAGGAACACGAGUACUCAAACCACUUGUAGGGUACCACAACCUAGGUGCACUAAAUGCACUAUGACAUC
RNAcentral lists this long non-coding RNA (658 nucleotides) under Sorghum bicolor (sorghum). RNAcentral describes it as "long non-coding RNA (SBIC_LNC015545)". The record is from RNAcentral. Lineage: Eukaryota; Viridiplantae; Streptophyta; Magnoliopsida; Poales; Poaceae.